RNAcentral lists this long non-coding RNA (924 nucleotides) under Zonotrichia albicollis (white-throated sparrow). RNAcentral's name for it is "lncRNA (ENSZALG00000015845.1)". The record is from RNAcentral. Lineage: Eukaryota; Metazoa; Chordata; Aves; Passeriformes; Passerellidae.
CUGCCGACGAGGAAUGCCGGCCGGGGCUGCGGCUGCUCCCGCUGUCCCGGUAACGCCGGCCCGUCCCCACGGCAACGCCACCGGCCAUGGCGGGGCGAGGCGCUGCCGGCCCGGGCCGAGGGUCAGCUAAAGUGUAAAGAUACUGACUAUGAAAGAAAAAGUGAUCUGUAUAAAGACAUAGUCACAUUUUUAAGGGGUGAUCGCCUAGAUUUGUGGAAAAUAUGGCCAAACAGGAAUCUAGUAUGUCUAAAGAACCAGCACACAAGAAGAAUCAGCAUGUGGAAGGUGCUGAGAUUUCUGGCCAAUCACAGAGCCUUCAUAAUCUUACAGAAAAGACUGAAUGUGAGAAAGGGAAAACUUGUUCAACAGGACCCACUGACCAGAGGUCAAAACCACAUAUGAAGUGGAAGAGCAGUGGGAUUUCUGCUUCCCAAAGUGGUGACAAGGUUCGAAAAAAAUACUCUGAAGGAGAAGGAAAAAGUAGAGCUGGAUCUCUGACUGCAAAAAAGAAAGCCAGUGGCAAAUCUAAAUCGGUUAAAAUUCAAGAAACUUCAAAAUGUAAAGCAUCAAUCAGCCUUGAGGAUAGUGAAAGUUCCUCAGAGACUGAUGAGGAUGAACACCCUGUACGUCGUCAGGAAGGAGGCAGCGAUUUGUCAGCAGAAUACUGGGGAAUUCAAAAACUUGCAAAAUAUGUAAAAGACCUCAGAAAAAGACAUGAACAUCUCACCCUAAGGAAUACAAUGGAUCUUCAAAUACUAAUUGUUUAAAGUGAAAAGUCUAAAAUCUCUGUUUAUGGAUGUUUCCACAGUCUUGAAAUGUGACCCUGUGUGUGUGUGAUGGAUACAAAUGUUAGGAUCUAAUGGCCGAAGUCCCUACUCUGUGUAGGACAUAUAUUGCACAUCAAAGCUUUUUCUACAAUCUGUG